GACGAACGCUGGCGGCGUGCCUAAUACAUGCAAGUCGAACGCUUCUUUCCUCCCGAGUGCUUGCACUCAAUUGGAAAGAGGAGUGGCGGACGGGUGAGUAACACGUGGGUAACCUACCCAUCAGAGGGGGAUAACACUUGGAAACAGGUGCUAAUACCGCAUAACAGUUUAUGCCGCAUGGCAUAAGAGUGAAAGGCGCUUUCGGGUGUCGUUGAUGGAUGGACCCGCGGUGCAUUAGCUAGUUGGUGAGGUAACGGCUCACCAAGGCCACGAUGCAUAGCCGACCUGAGAGGGUGAUCGGCCACACUGGGACUGAGACACGGCCCAGACUCCUACGGGAGGCAGCAGUAGGGAAUCUGCGGCAAUGGACGAAAGUCUGACCGAGCAACGCCGCGUGAGUGAAGAAGGUUUUCGGAUCGUAAAACUCUGUUGUUAGAGAAGAACAAGGACGUUAGUAACUGAACGUCCCCUGACGGUAUCUAACCAGAAAGCCACGGCUAACUACGU
This 507-nucleotide ribosomal RNA is filed under the name uncultured bacterium. Its description in RNAcentral is "partial 16S ribosomal RNA". It matches the Rfam family "Bacterial small subunit ribosomal RNA", at positions 28 to 506 of the family's 1533-position model. The record is from RNAcentral.